This 27-nucleotide non-coding RNA is filed under the name Mus musculus (house mouse). The record is from RNAcentral. Lineage: Eukaryota; Metazoa; Chordata; Mammalia; Rodentia; Muridae.
UGCAAAGAGAAGGUGGAGACUCAGAGG